GACGAACGCUGGCGGCGUGCUUAACACAUGCAAGUCGAGCGGUAAGGCCCUUUCGGGGGUACACGAGCGGCGAACGGGUGAGUAACACGUGGGUGACCUGCCCUUAGCUCUGGGAUAAGCCUGGGAAACUGGGUCUAAUACCGGAUAUGACUCCAUAACGCAUGUUGCGGGGUGGAAAGCCUUGUGCGGCUAGGGAUGGGCCCGCGGCCUAUCAGCUUGUUGGUGGGGUGAUGGCCACCAAGGCGACGACGGUAGCCGGCCUGAGAGGGCGACCGGCCACACUGGGACUGAGACACGGCCCAGACUCCUACGGGAGGCAGCAGUGGGGAAUCUUGCGCAAUGGGCGAAAGCCUGACGCAGCGACGCCGCGUGGGGA
RNAcentral lists this ribosomal RNA (376 nucleotides) under uncultured bacterium. Its description in RNAcentral is "bacterial SSU rRNA". It matches the Rfam family "Bacterial small subunit ribosomal RNA", at positions 28 to 407 of the family's 1533-position model. The record is from RNAcentral.